UCCGAGUUGACCCCGGCAGUCUCUUAUGAGUCCCCGGCAUUAUCCGCUGGCAACAUAAGACGAGGGUUGCGCUCGUUGCGGGACUUAACCCAACAUCUCACGACACGAGCUGACGACAGCCAUGCAGCAUCUGUGGUGCACCCUCGAAGGUCACACGUUUCCGUGCGCUUGCAGCACCAUGUCAAGUCCAGGUAAGGUUCUUCGCGUUGCAUCGAAUUAAGCCACAUACUCCACCGCUUGUGCAGGCCCCCGUCAAUUCCUUUGAGUUUUAGCCUUGCGGCCGUACUCCCCAGGCGGGGUGCUUAAUGCGUUAGCUGCGGCACGGAAGGCGUCGAUAGCCUCCCACACCUAGCGCCCAUCGUUUACGGCGUGGACUAC
Molecule: unclassified non-coding RNA, 378 nt
Filed under: uncultured Actinomycetes bacterium
Lineage: Bacteria; Bacillati; Actinomycetota; Actinomycetes
Description: uncultured actinobacterium contains 16S-23S intergenic spacer region
Source: RNAcentral